GACAGAGGGGGCAAGCGUUGCUCGGAAUUACUGGGCGUAAAGGGCGCGUAGGCGGGAUGGCAAGUCGGUCGUGAAAUCCCUCGGCUCAACUGAGGAGCGUCGAUCGAAACUGCCGUUCUUGAGGGAUGCAGAGGAGACUGGAAUUCCCGGUGUAGCGGUGAAAUGCGCAGAUAUCAGGAGGAACACCGGUGGCGAAGGCGGGUCUCUGGGCCGUAACUGACGCUGAGGAGCGAAAGCAUGGGGAGCGAACAGG
RNAcentral lists this ribosomal RNA (253 nucleotides) under uncultured bacterium. Its description in RNAcentral is "partial 16S ribosomal RNA". It matches the Rfam family "Bacterial small subunit ribosomal RNA", at positions 524 to 776 of the family's 1533-position model. The record is from RNAcentral.